RNAcentral lists this ribosomal RNA (903 nucleotides) under Urechis caupo. Its description in RNAcentral is "small subunit ribosomal RNA". The record is from RNAcentral. Lineage: Eukaryota; Metazoa; Annelida; Polychaeta; Xenopneusta; Urechidae.
UAUUUUCUGUUAAAUAUUGUAAUAAUCUUAGCUACCAAACUAAUAAAUAAUAUUACAAACAAAUAAUGAUUUGAUUCUGGUCAAUAAAUUAAUUCUAGCAAACCACACACAUGCAAGAACUCUCGAACCCGUAACAUUUUUAUUCUCUCUAAAAGAACCCUCCCUAAAGAUUAAAAUUUUAUGAUCUUAUCUAAUGAUACGCCUGCAGUGAUGAAAUCUAAUCAAUAUCAGCCAUUAUGAAUUGGAAAUAGCCCCAAAAACAGACAAACCUUGUGCCAGCAGUCGCGGUUACACAAGAUGUUUAAAUUAAUUAAUUCAUGCCUGCAAUAUAUAAAAAAAUAGAAAUAUCUUAACCCCCUCAAAAGUAUAAUUUAAACAGGGGUAACAAACUAAACAUUCCUAAUAUCUUAUAUUGCGAAAGCCUAGACUAAAACGGGGAUUAGAUACCCCCUUAUCCUAGCCGCAAAUCAAAGGCCGAGCACUACGAACACAUGUUUAAAACUCAAAGAAUUUGGCGGUGUCUUAACCUCCCAGGGGAACCUGUCCAUUAAAUCGAUAAUCCACGAAAAAUCAAACCUCGCUUUGCCAUCAGCCUGUAUACUUCCGUCUUCGGUCACCCUGAAAAGGAGUGACCAAUAAAAUAACUCAUUUUCACGUCAGGUCAAAGUACAGCCAAUAGCAAGGAUGAAGAUGGGUUACAACCUUAACCAAAGAAAAUGACCUUCGGGCCAACGAACACACUAUGAAAAACUGUGAUUGAAGGAGGACUUGGCAGUAAAGCUGAAUAAAUUUUCGGCUUGAAUAAGGAAAUCUAAGACAUGCACAAAUCGCCCGUCACUCUCCCCCAAAGGGGAGAAAAGUCGUAACAUAGUAGGUAUAACGGAAGUUGUACCUAACCAAACC